This is an RNA transcript of Marmota monax (woodchuck), 31561 nucleotides long. It is a transcript of the gene named succinyl-CoA:glutarate-CoA transferase, with no coding region annotated. The transcript is spliced from 15 exons. Lineage: Eukaryota; Metazoa; Chordata; Mammalia; Rodentia; Sciuridae. The record is from RefSeq and is a predicted model, not a curated record.
GCUGCGGGUGGUGCGGGCCUGGCUCACACCCGGACUCGAGACGUCUGAGAGCAGCGCGAUGCAGGCGACGCUUGCGAGGUUGGCGGCUCUGCGGAGAAUCGGUCUCCCCUCCGGCCGGGUCGGCGGGAGGGGGCUGUGGACAGGCCGCCCGCAGUCAGAUAUUGACAACGUGAAGCCAUUGGAGGGUGUAAAAAUUCUAGAUCUAACAAGAGUGCUGGCAGGACCUUUUGCUACUAUGAAUUUAGGAGAUCUUGGAGCAGAAGUUAUAAAAGUGGAAAGACCAGGAGCCGGUGAUGAUACACGAACUUGGGGGCCACCUUUUGUGGGUACAGAAAGUACAUAUUUUCUCAGUGUUAACCGAAAUAAAAAAAGCAUAGCUGUUAAUAUCAAGGAUCCAAAAGGGGUGAAAAUCAUCAAAGAGCUUGCAGCUGUUUGUGAUGUAUUUGUGGAAAACUAUGUCCCUGGAAAACUGUCCACAAUGGGCCUGGGGUAUGAAGAUAUAGACAAGAUUGCUCCUCACAUCAUCUAUUGCUCCAUCACAGGUUAUGGUCAGACAGGCCCCAUGUCUCAAAGAGCUGGUUAUGAUGCCAUUGCCUCUGCUAUUUCUGGUCUGAUGCACAUCACAGGGCCUGAGGAUGGUGAUCCAGUUCGCCCAGGAGUGGCCAUGACUGAUCUUGCCACUGGCCUGUAUGCAUAUGGAGCCAUUAUGGCUGGAUUGAUACAAAGAUAUAAAACUGGAAGAGGACUGUUCAUUGAUUGUAACCUACUGUCAUCUCAGGUGGCAUGUUUGACCCAGGUAGCUGUUAAUUAUCUCAUUGACCAAAAGGAAGCAAAACGUUGGGGCACUGCUCAUGGCAGUAUUGUUCCUUACCAGGCUUUUAAAACCAAGGAUGGCUAUUUUGUAGUUGGAGCAGGAAAUGACCAACAGUUUGCUACUGUGUGCAAGAUCUUGAAUUUGCCUGAGUUGAUUGAUGAUUCCAAGUAUAAAACCAACCAUCUUCGAGUGGAGAAUAGAAAAGAGCUUAUUAAAAUACUAUCUGCACGGUUUGAAGAAGAAAUGACCACUAAGUGGUUAUAUUUCUUUGAAGGCAGCGGGGUCCCAUAUGGCCCAAUCAACAAUAUGAAGGGUGUAUUUACAGAACCUCAGGUGCUACACAAUGGCCUCAUUAUGGAAAUGAAGCAUCCAACUGUGGGGAAGAUUUCAGUCCCAGUUUGAAGAAUGUACAAUAAAUGGAGUGACCACCUAGACUCUUCCAUGGUUACAAAUCUUCCUCUUCUGGGCUACCCAGUUCUUCACCUUUCCCUGUUAUUUUUAGCUUUUUUCCCCCCUCUUCCUGUUAGAUAGAAAAUUAGAUAAUGUUUCUGAAAUCACAUAUCCUCAAAGUGCAGUUAAAUUUAUAUAAUGGAUAGCAGCAAUGGGGAAAGCUGUCACAAAUCUCACUGGGGAAAAAGAAAAAUUAAGAGGAACCAAGGUUCCAGCUUAUAUCCCUCCAUAAAAAUUUAAAUAUGUUGGUCCUUAGAAGGAAUUCAAAGUAAAACCAAUGGGAGAAUGAGAAGUAAGAUAAGUUAUUUCUUCCAGGUAGAAAGGCCUUUCAGAUGACAACAGGAAAAGUGUGUAAAGUUUUCAUGUUGUAUGUAGUGCAUAAUCUGUCUUCUAGAAAGAGCAUAUUCCUUCAGGGAUCAGGGUAUGCUGCAAAAAGAGGAAAGAGAUGAAAGGAAGUCUGUCAACAGAACGAGAGAAAGCUGGCAGGGAAGUGAGUUUGCAAAGCGACUAGCCAUGGUACUUCCCGAAGUCCUUAAUUAUUUUCAACAUUAUUAAACCCUGAACCCAUGGCAGGGUACUAAGAGUGAAAUCAAUCAGUGUAUUCUCAGGGGAUUUGACACUGAGGGCCUGUAGCCUUCUCUGGAAGUCUUGUUACAGUGAGACAAGACCUUAGACAUUGUUCCCAUUCAGUGAGAAAUGAAAAGCGCAGUGACUUUCCUUCCUAGGAGAGCUAGGAGGAAGCAGAGGAGGCAUGAAUCCCAUCCCCAGGAAUGUCUUCCAUCAGGAACCAGAGAAGCUCUGAGAGCCAAAUUACUGUCGCUGGUAUGACUUAGGAUCUCCAUCAACUAUGCUUAUCUGUGCCAUGAGGAAGAAAUAUUUUGUGAGACCUGGACUUUCACUCUCAGGGAAUUCAUGUUCUGUAAGUUGGGACUGGGAAAGUGGCCAAGAACUCAGUUGUAUCUGUUAAACUUGUGUCCUCAUCAACCAGACCCUAACGGGGUUUCCUGAUAAGUGACUAACCAACAAGGAAAUCCUUGUUGCAGAUUAGCCCUAAGUUAUCAAUCGAUUUCUGGGGUGCAGAGUUGUUUUCACUAUGAGGAAGUGAUAUAUAAGCUAAAGAAUUUUCCUGGAUGAAUAUUUAAUUAGAUUUAUACAUUCUUUGGGAUUUUUUUUUUUAACUAUCACUAUGCAAAAUAAUCCCUAAGUUUAGAGGUAUGUUUGAAAUAAUCUAAGGGGAUCACUGAAAUGUCCAGCCAAAUAGAGAAAUCAAAACAAAAACAAAAUAAGAAGGAACAGGAAGAGUGGAAGUCUGCAUGAUUGUCAAAGUUUCUUUUUUAUUGUCCUAAAAGAUGGGUCAGACUUCUUUCUGGGAUCAGUUCUUGAAUCUCUGUUGUUUUAGCUGUAGCCAACUCUCAUUGGUACUUGAAGGAAUUUUUUUCUGGAUCAGAUUUAUAUACUGACUUCUGGUGGGUCUUUAGGGAAUAAAUUAAAUUAAUUAAAUGUAAUUAGGUAUAUAAACCCUUUGGAGAAAUUAAAGUUGAUAUCAUGUAGUAGUAAAAUACAAAAGUUUUAAAAUCUCCCAGUUUAGACUUCUAUGCCAUGGAAUUUACUUGGAUAAUCAGGAAGAUACAUUAUCUUUGCCUCCAAAUGGCUUCUACCUGGACUGAGUUGCUUGCCUCCAUUGCUGAGUUUAUCUGUGGUUGGAAACGAGUCAUUUUAGUCCUCCCCAUAGGGAAAAGUGGCUCUGCUUUUCUCCAGUAGCAUUGCCAAGAAGGGACACAAUGGUGCAUCCAAAGAUGACAGUUGGGCUGAAUUCCAUAGCUAAAUUGUUUUCUUUAGAUAGAAAUCCUUAACAUUUCAAGACAUAUAUAUAUUCCUGUUAAGAAGACCUAGCCAGAGAAAAUAUUAAAAGAAUAAACCGUAUAUUUAAAAAAGAUUUUAAAAGAUCAUUGUUUAAUUUUAACUAAGCACACAGUGUUAAUAUUAAAAAGAGAUGUUGGUGGGGUGAAGAAAUUGUAGGUAAAGGGUUAAACAAAAUCUUCCAACACCCAAACCCUUGGGGACUGCUGAGGGUCUAUGGGCCUCAUUGCUUAUCUCCUAGCUUGAGCUUACGUUGUCUUCUGAGUGUGUCCAUCGUGUAUCAGCUUUAAUGACAUAAUAUCUACUUGUUUUCACAUGUUAACCUGGCUACAGAAUUAGCACUCAUUGUGUUUCUGAGUUUAUCCUCUUAGUAGGAUAGAAGGAGAGAAGGCCUCAGGGGCCUUGAACUCAUUUCCCAGUCUGUCCUUCAUCUAGAUAUCAUGUGAGUCAUAGAAGGCUGAGUGACUCUCAGAGUGGGUAUCCCCUUGGUCUAACUACUCAGAGUCCUUGUGUCUAUUAUGAGUGUAUACAAUAGCCAAGUUAUAGAACCAACCCAGGUAACUGUCAACAGAUGAUUGAAUAAAGAAAACAUAGCAUAUAUACACAAUGGAGUUCUGCUCAGCCACUAAGAAGAGUGAAAUUAUGUCAUUUGCUACUAAAUAGAUGGAACUGGAGGACAUCAUGCAUGAAAUAAGGCAGAAUAAUAAAGUCAAGGGUCAAAGUUUUUUUUUUUUUCUCAGCAGAAACUAGAGAGAAGAAAUUCUAAAGGGGGGAUUUCAUGAAAAUGGAAGGGAGAAAAGUAGUCUGGAGAAAGGGGAUCUGAGAGAUGGAGAAAGGGAGGGAAAGGGGAAGAAGUGCAGAAUAAAACCAACCCAACUAUGCCAAACACAUGCAAGAGUGUAUCACAAUGAAUCUCGCUUUUUUGUAUAACCUACCAACUAACAAAAUAAAUAAAUAGUAGAGUAGGGGAAGAGUGUUCAUGGAGAGGGAAGAAAUUAGGCAAAGGGGAAGUGCUAGGGAAUGCAGUGGACCAAAUUAUGUUAUGUGCAUUUGUGCUUAUGUCACAAUGAAUCCCACUAUUACAUGUGAUUAUAAUGCCCUAAUACAAUUUUUUGAAGUGUUUCUAAGAGCUUUGGUUAUUUCAAGAAGCAGUAAACUUUGCAAAACCAUUAAGCAAAAACUUAAAUUCAGUUAAAAAUGAAAAAAGUAGUUAAUAUAAACAUUUUAGUAAUGUGCAGAGAGUGCAUGAUGAAAUAAGAAAGCCACCAACAUGCCACAGCCACAGCAAGCUAGAAAAGCACUACCCCAUAUGGCUGUAAAGACUGUCCUCAACUGUUUGCCUCCUUAAGACUGAAUCUGCUUUCUCCAUCUUAUGGACCUUCAGGUUAAUGUGUGACCUUAGAUAAUUCACUUUACUUUCUAGUGUCUUUAAUGGGACAAACUUUUUUUUUUUAAAUCUCUUUCCAUUUAAAGGAAACAUAUAAUUCAUUGUAUUGCAUAUAAAUAUAUUUUGUGAAUAGAUUUUAAUGGCAUCAUUGCUAUGGAAUAUUCAAAUUUGAAAGCAGAUGUAAGUCAACAUCUCUUGAGUACUCCCCUAUAUAUGGUGCAAAUGCAAGCAUAUUAUAUGUACAAUUUAUUUAAUCUCCAGGUCAAUUCAGAAAGCCGUAAAUUAUUGUGUCCAUUUCACAGCUGAGAAAAAUGGACCCUUGUUAUAUAUUGCUAACUGAAUGUUAGUAUAGCAAUUUAGACCCAGGUCUGGAUAUUUCUAAGAAAUCUGUCUUCUUCUAGCCAAAAAGGAAAGUUAAGCUGAUUAUUGAGAGUAUUUUACCUUACAACUCUAGUCUCUAAUUUAAAGGUAGCUGAGUAUAGUUUUGUUUGAAGAUCAGCUUAGAAAAUUAUUUAACUAAUGCUUAAAUUUCAAGAAUUUAAACUUAGAUUGAGUCUAUCUCCUUUCUGGAAUAAGUUUGUGCUUUUGAAAGUCUAUAAUUGUGUUUCUACUUGUUUUAAAGCCAUCAGAAAAUGUAUUGCUAGGCCAUUUUGAUAGUCUCAAGGGCAUAUAAGUGCAAACGCACCAAAACAUGUGGAUUACAUUUCCCUCAAGUUGUACUGUUUUCACAAAUUAACAGAAAUGCAGUUUGGAAGAGGGGAAAAAAGAGAAAUGUUUGGGAUGUAUAUGCAGAUUUCAAUCAUCAAAAGACCCAAGAUGUUAAGCAGCCACCCCAACUUACCCCUUUGCUUUGUAUUUGACCUGGAUGCUUUGUCUUUGCAGUGAUCUGCUUAUGGCCCUGGGGCUGAGUUGGGAAAUUUCCACUUGUGGGUUUUGUUUUAAAGUUAGAGCCUGAUUUUCUUUGAGAAACAUUAAUAAAACUGCAAACAAUGAUUUAUUGGUAUAAGAAAGUUAAGAUGAUUUUUUUUUUCUGAGCAUGUGGUUGAUAGCAUUAUCAGAGCAAGAGUUUAAAAAUUAAUUAGUAACAAAUAUUGUGCUUCCUAGAAUAGUCAAAGACACAAAAGUAAAAUGGUUGUUGUCAGGGACUGAGUGUAGUGGAUAGGGAGUCAAUGUUUUAUACAGACUCCCAGUUUGGGAAGAAGACAAAAUUCUGGAGAUGGAGGACAGUGAUUGUUGCAUAACAAUGUGAAUGUACUCAAUGCCACUCACACUAAAAAUUGUUGACAAAGUACAUUUUAUGUUAUGUGUGUGUGUGUAUCUACAAUACACAUAUGAUUAGUAAGAAAAAUUAAUUUGCUUUUGUUUUCACCUAUACACCUGAUAUGCAUAUAUGGUGUGCAUACAAGAUAGGGUAGGUUCGAGAGACCUGAGAUCAAAACUACACGUUGUGAUUUCUAAUUAGAGAUACUUAACAGUCUAAUCUGACUCAAUAGUAUCUUUAUUUUUUGCACUACAAGAUCAAAUACUUAUCUCAUUGCAACUUACAGUAAUCAAAUAAUAGUAUAUGCCAAGUACUUAGCACAUAGAAGGAGUAAGUGGAAGCUCUUGUAGAUAAUUAAUGAAUUUUUUAACAGCAUUUACAGUAGCAAAGAGUCUUGGGUAAAAAUAAAACUAGCCACCUUAUUAGUUAUUUUUUAAACCAUGAAACAUCAAAAUAAUCAUGUGUAUUUCUCUAAGAAUUAAACAAGAACAAUUUUUGGUUUGUUUUAAAAAAAUGUUGAUUUAGUAUUUACUCUGUGCCAUAUGCUGACUGAUAGAUAAGCAUCCCAGAAAAAGGGCACAUCAUGGAGACCAAUCAAAUGAAAUGCACUGAGGACAGGGAAAUCCUGAGACUGUUGCCGUCACAUCUGUGUGAAGCUGAACUGACUCCUUUAUCUGUUUUCUUACUAGAAGAUCUUGGAUGAAUAUUUUAUAUAUAAAGUGAGUGGACACCACAUAGUGCAAAAGUGUCCUCACAAAACAGUUUUCUCUGACAGAUCAUGCAGGUGAAAAUAAUAAUUCAGAGUUCAUGGAUUAAAGUGUCACAGCUUUUUCAGGGAACAUUAGAGGAGGACCAUGACCAGUGCAGCAUUUCCAAAAUGUAUCUUGGAGGAUGCCCAGGUUCUUGAAUUGGUUAGUGAUAAUUGUUCCUCCAAGUAAUGACCAUAUAGCGAAACAUCUUUGGAAGACUGCAUUAGACAAAGGUCAAUGGGUUUUCUUUACCUUCACAUUUCUCAAACUGUUGACAUUCUCAGAUGUGUCUAUGCUUCCAGGAGAGGGGUACAGAAUGCCACGUUUCCUUAAGUUAUUUGACAGUUGAGUCCUUUCUCUCCCUAGAGCUUUUAUGAAGAUCCUGAGGAAAAGUGAUUUGUGGGUUACCCCACCAGGAACAUGUGUCCCUUGGAGCUGCAUAAGACAAGUUGUAAUGGCCAUUUACUGGAGAAAUUGGCCAGUUUACACAAACAAAGUGAGAGGAAGCCAAAUGAAACUGACUCUCCUCCAAGGGUCAGGAUUUCUCCUGUUUUUUGUUUUUGUUUUUGUUUUAGCUCAAGGGACCAAGGAUCCUGAGGUACAUUAGAAGGGGGUCCAUGAGGGCUGACCACUAGGGAACAGUGGGCAGGAGCAUGCCCAGGGAGGGUGGUAGGAGCCAAUGAGGCCAAGAGAUCAUGGGGAAGGGGUGCAGUGCUUUCUCUCCUAAUGGGCUCAGCCCCCACCAGUGAGAGUGCCAUUUGACAAUGAAAAGCAUUAAUAAGAAAUAGAUGGAGGGCAAUGCUGAAGUGCAGAUCAGGAAUAGCUCACACGGUGAUGCUCUUGCACUAGAAGCAAAAACUAUCCUGGGAUCUGAAGAAAUCACUUAAGAAGAGAAUGCUUUCUCUUCAGUGAGCCUCAGUAAAGCUGCACUAGGAGAAUUCUGCACAAUUGUUCCUACUCUAGCUUAGAAAAUGGAGUUGAUUAAGUGGAAGACAACUUUAAAAUGUGACAAAGAUGAUGAGGUGAUUAAGGGGUAGGAUUUAAGUGGCAAGAUGUGGAAAAAUUAAGAUGUGUGACUGAGUAGCAGUGACAGUGGGGUAUAUGAUAGCUGCCUAUAAAUACCCAAUUAAUUGCCUAAUGUGGCAAAUGAAAAGAAACAGGCUUCAACCACCAAAAAGGAAACUUGAUUUGGAGAAUAUUAGGGAAUUUGUAUUUAAUAGGAAGGGUGAUUUGACUGCCAUUAUACAGAAAAUCAGUUGAGUUAUUUGGGUAAAGAUUCAAGAUGAUACUUCACUUCCUUAUAAUAUCCUGGUGUCAACAAGAUAUUUUUCUUUGAAAAGGAUGUAUAUCAUUCUUAAUGUCUGUUCAGAGCAGAAAUUGAAGAAUAGAGGAAAAAUGUUUAAUUUGCUACAAGGUGUUGUGAUUGGUGAUAAUGCUCAGGGUUGCUUUAACCCUCCAGGUAUGUUUUCCCUUAGGCUGAAUUAUACCAAUAUCUUGGGUGAUAUGAAUCAUAGAAUAUCUAGACAUUGUGUUAUGCUGUAUAUGAAGCUACACCUUAUCACAUAAACCAUACCAAAGACAAUUAACAUAAGGGGCAUUUGACAAAACUACUUAACUCUUAGUGAGCUCAAUAAUGCACUAGGUGCUUUACAAAUAUAAUAUAUAAUAAUCACAUAAAUACUCUGAAAAAUGCAUUCGUAUCCCCAUUUUACAGAUGAGUAAACUGAUCCUUGGGGAAAUUAAAUAACCUGACGGAGAACUUGCACUUCAUUUUGAGUUACUUAAAAAAAAAAUCCAUGCCCUGUUACUGUGAUGCUAUACUGCCUCCUGAAGGCAUUUUUGAUCAUCAUUUUAUGAACUUCAGACCAAUGGCUUAGUAUGUAUGAAGCACUCCUGAGAAAAAACUCGUUUGCUUGUGUUUGAGCGUGGGGGAUCACUAAAGGCAUUACUCACACUUAACCCAGAUAACACUAUGGCAGGACAUCAGCCAGCCACUUUCCUCUAGCUGUACAGAUAGGCAAGGAUAGGAGAAAGGGCGGCUGGCUCCCAUCCCCUGAGCAUUUAUAGGGAGGAGAACUGCCAGAUCUAAAAAGCAGCAUCCAGAUUUGAUUAUAACUCCUCUUUGUGGGCUUUGAAGCUUUUUGUUAUUUCUUCCUUUGCCUCAUGGACUUCAGAUAUAUUUUCACAUAAACAGAAAUGAUUCCUCCUUUCUGAGCACUUCAUUUUUGGUGGCAUCAUGGAAUGUCCCAGGAAGGGGGGCAUGGGACCAAUUAUAAAGGAGAAAUUCCUCUUUGGCUUGCAUGUUUAUAUGAAAAUGCCAAAGCCAUCAGCUGCUGCGACAGCAGGCCCAGGGUGAGCCUUUUCCCCAACUGUCUUACAGCAACUACACAGCAGGGGGAGAUCACUCUAGUAGGCCUCAUUAGAAGAUGAUAAAUAAAAGAAAUUGUUCCUCCCGAAGUGUCAUCCUGCAUUCGUGACUUGUGCAAGAAGUUUAGGAAGUCUGCGCCUCUCUCUAUAUAUUUUAUUCUAGUAAGAAGUGCCCAAAUUAUAAGCAUGGAAAUGAUAACUCAAAUUCCAACCACUCUCUAUUAAAUGCCCUAUCUUGGCUUACUACUGAGGAAAUUUUCCUUGAAUAGAGAGAAUGUAGAUUGAAAAAAAAUUAAUUUCACAUUCGUAUUUAUGGGACAUUUGAGACAAACAGCCCAUCAGUGUUACUGUUACCUCAUUCGCCUUUUUUAGCCAUCAGCACUGGCUGCUUAUGUCUUUUACAUUCAUGGAACGCAUUUCAAAUCUGAGGAAUUCAGUUCCAUAGCAGGAUCUUAGCAGAGAUGAUAUAUAUCAUGUUGUUUGGCUAUCUUCUUAAUGCUUUCUUCUUUCUUGUGAAAAAAAAAUAUAUAAAUGGUGUAUUGAUGGAAAAACCAGAUCUGACAGGAAGGUUGAAAAAAUAAGUUACUUAAACAAUUCUUCUGGAACCAUUCAGGAGAGAAGGGUGGAGUAGAGUCUGAAACAAAACAAUACAGUGCUGAAGGUUAUAUUUUUUAAAUGAAACUUAAUUAGAGCUAUUUUUAAUAUAUCUGUCCUGUUAUCACUCCCAGUAGGGGUAACCUCCAUCCUAUUUGGCUUCUUUGCCACCUAGUGUACAAGGUGAGCUGUCAGUUUCCUAGAUGUGAGCAAGAUUAGAGCUGGUACUCAUACCCAGCUCUCCCAGGCAGAACACAGAAAGGUGUUCUUUCUGUGGUGUGGAAGCUUGUCUUUUUCUAUUAUUCCAAAUUCGGAGGUUCUUCAUGCUCAUGGUAUGAUGUGAUGUUUUCUAAUUUUCUUUGCCAGUGAAUAGUGAUAGACCCUAAGUCCUCAGAAACUAUAAGUGAAAAUGUAUUCCAUAUUUGGUGUUGUAGAUCCAACAAGACCCAACAACAGUUUUCAUUAGUUAACUUCCCUUCAUUAUUAGUAAAUUAUUUAUUUUUUUCAGAUCCAUUUCUCUGAAUCUUUAAUUAUGAAACUUUCUGAUAAGACAAGUACAAAGAGCUAUUAUUUAAAUAUAUUUGGUUACGAAUCAGAUUAGAACUACAGAAACUCCAAACCAGAGGCUGUUGUUCCAGGGAAAUCUUCUGACAACAUGGCCUCUUCCUGUACUUUUCUGGAAUAUCAAGCAUCACCCUCUAAGUUUUCAGCCUUGUAUUUUCUUUGGAAUGUUCUUCUUUACCCUUCUUAAAUACUUCACAUAUACAAAAGGAAAUGUCAACAUUUAACCUUUAGUAUGAGUUGGGAAAAGGGAAAAGUUUAUUUCAAUGCUCUUCUAUUUAAACACAAUGGAACUCUGUUAUGAUAUAACAUUUUAUUCUUGCAUUCCAAUAUAAUAUGUUUGAACUAUGAACACCCAAAAGCGUAGAAAAAGUGAUGCCAUUAUAAUCCAUAUACAAAUCCUGGUGUCAAUCCUGGUAUUAUAACAAAAUUCAACCUUAUAUCUUCAUAUGUGGGUAUGCUGGUUGUGAUUUUUCUCCCCCAAAUCUAAAUCCCUGCAAUGUCAAUUUACUUUUUUUUCCCUAAUAGAAAACAAAAAUCUCAGCAUGUUAGUAAGAAUAAAAUCUCUGAAAGAAAUUUUGUUCCCUGCAGCAUUGUAUCAGAGAACAUAUAAAGAACUGAUGGAUAAAUGGACAAUAAGCCAGUUUUAGACUUUAACAGACACACAUAUUUUAAAAAUUUUUUUAAAAAUAGUUUUUAGUUGUAGUUGAAUACAAUACCUUCAUUUAUUUAUUUAUUUUUAUAUGGUGAUGAGGAUCAAACACAACGCCUCACACAUACUAUGCGAGAGCUCUAUCACUGAGCUACAACCCCAGCACAGACACACAUAUUUUUAAUAUAAGCUGCCCAAUCUCCUGGCUUAUAUAUGCAAUUUGAGAUGUAUGUGUAUUUAAUGUGAUCUCAAAUAUUUUGUGUUAUACAAAUGUAGGUUAUCGAUGUGAUUCUGUAUGUGUAUUUACUUUGUGCCCAGGGAAACAAUGAUGUCAGAUCGAAGUCAGGAACUUAGCAUGGAUUCUAGUUUUCAUAUAUACACUAUGACACUAAGAGAAGACCUUUGUUUUGUGAUGAUGAUAUAAUAACAGCAAUAUCUCCACAUCUAAACUAAGGAAAGUUUGGGUAUGUAUUUACUUAUUAGGUGCUUUUUAAGCACCUUUAUAUCUUUAAAUCUGUAUUUCACAAAGAAAGAGACAAGUUGACCUAAACCACAACACUAAAAACAAGUUGACUCAUAGGAAUUGACCUCCAAAUUUAAAAAAUAAGUAAACAAAUAACUACUAAAAACAGUGACAACAUAGGUGGUCCCUUUAUAGACAUAAAAAGCAUAUUUUUCAUUUUUAUGCUUAAAAUAUCCUCUUAUAGCUAUGCCUAUAAAAUGCAAAUCAAAUCAUAUGAUAUGAUUUAUGGUAUAUCCAAGGGUUGUCAUUCAAAAACUAUUCUAUUGAGGCACUUUUCAAAGUGUCAUUGGUCCAAAGAAUCUCUUAGGGGACCCUGAGUCUUAUAUCAGACUAUGGAGGAGAGCAGCAGGGUUGGUAACCCCAGCAGGUUGGAGCAGCGCAUAGAUGUGAGAGCUGCAUGACCCACUUUGUGGGUCCAAGGAACAGCAGUGGACAGCUUACAUAUGGUCAUUGGAAAGAUACUGAUUCAAGGGAUGUGGGGGGAGUCACAGUAACUGGUAAAUAUGGUACCAGAAAACCUAGCAAGAGAUAAAAAAAAAUGUACUGAUGGUGCACUAAGCACACAGACACUGUAGGUUUAAGGAAUGUCAUAGAAUCCUAGCAAAUAGAACUGCUGCAGAAUUCUGUUAAAUCCUUCUGUAUAGCAAGUUUUGGUCAUAGAGCUUGUCUUCCAAAGAAGAAGCCAGUUCCUAACAUAAGGAAAAAAUAGAAAAGGCAAAAAUGAGAUAUAAUCAUUGAUUUCUCCAAAUACUGAAAGGACAAGGCUACUAGAAUAAUUUCAAAGGCAGAACUGAAGCCAAGGGAAUAAGGCAGAACCUACUUUUCAAAACUUGAACAAAAUGUAGGAAUUUGUUUUAGGCAAGUUUGAGCUAGCUCCACAACUGGAUUGAGGCCCAUUGUGAGUCACCUGAGCUUGGACCAAGAGCUCUUCACACCCCUCAGGAUCCCAGGCUCUGUGGAACCAGAGGAGGGUGAAAACCCAAGCAGAACAUCACCACCCAGAGAAGGUUACACCUUAAGUCCUGGGUUUCUUCUACUCAGCUCAGCAGGAGAGAUUCCACAGGCAGGGCCUUAAGCUCCUUAGUUACCCAUUUCUCAGAACUUUGCACAGCUUUAAUAGAAGAGGGUUUACAACAGCAGUCUGUAGGAAACCUAGGCUGUUUCCUGUGUCCUGAAAAACUUUCCAGGAGUCUUCUGGAGUCCUCAAUGGCACCAUGGACUCCUCUCCAUGAAGGACAUAAGAGUGAUGCUUCACCUUCCCUAGGACACUGCAGAAGUCUCCUCUUGCCCAGGGAGCAAGGUCACCCAGAACACUGUUCACUCCAGUUAAUAUCAACAACCAUUAAAUAUUUUAAAUAGCCCACAGACCCAGCCUGUCUUUCUAUCAUUGUUUCUAGAAAACUAUGUUCAAUAUGGCUAAGACCAAAUGUUGUUUUUAAAAAGAAUAUUUGCUAUGAAGACCAGGCUGGAUACCAAAAAUGGGACCAAAUAGCCACUUCAUUUCCUUUCAAAUAAUUUUGUCUUUACUAUGUUGCAAUUCAAAUAUCUUCAAUGCUGCUUGUGACACACUUAUAAAACACUUAAAUAUUUAUAGUUUUCAAUUCCUUUUUCUAUUUUAACACCUAAACAGGCAUGCAAAGGAAUAUGAGUAGUCUGUACUAUCAAAUUAUUGGAAACCAUAUUCUGUAAUAUGUAUUACAAAUUGUUCUUCUUCUUCCCCUCUUCCUCCACCCCCACCUCCUCCUUUUUCUUCUAACUGGGGAUUGGCCUUGUGCAUGCUGCACAAAUGCCCUACCACUGAGCCAAUUUACCAUCCAACAAAUUGUUCUUUAAGGAGAGAAUGGCCUACAAAUUUGCAGAAUGAGGCACCUUGAACUUAUAUCCUGAACUGGGCAUGUUUAUUAAAAUUUUGUAUAUGAUGUUUAACUUAGGGAUAUUCCUUCAGAGGACAGACCUAGGAAUAAUAGAUGCUACAGGAAAGGGAAUUAAGUUAAAUGUUGUAAAGGCAACUUUCGUAGAUGUGGAGAAGUAAAGAAAAAGGAAGGGAGCAGUGUUGAUCUCCCUGGCAUGAUAGUGAACAUAAGAGCAAAAGUAGAGAGCGAAUGUGCUUAGCAGGAAUUUUACACAUAUUUAAGUGGAGAAUAGGGAGUUGACUUAAGUGACUUUAAAAGUGACUAAGAUUGAAUCAAAAUUCAAAUGUCUCAUUUACUGAUCUGGGAUAUUUUUUACCCGAUUCUUUGCUAUGGUCCAAAUAUGUCAAUGUCCUAAUCCCUAGAAUGUGUGACUAUUAACAUAUAUGACAGAAAGGAUUUUGCAGACUCUUAAGUGAUUCUUAAGAGAAAUCAAGAAUAUUGAGUUAAGGAGAUUAUCCUGGAUUAUCUGGAGGGCCUGAUAAAUUACUAUAGUUUUAUAAGAGGGAAACAAAAGGUUUCAGAGUCAGAGGAGAAGGUGGCAUGAUAAUGGAAGCAGAGAUUGGAGUAAUGUAUUUUGAAGAUGGACGAAGGAACCAUGAGCCAAGGAAAGCAGGUGACUACUAGGAAUUGAAAAUGGCAAGCAAGUGGGGAUCUCUAGAGCUUCCCAUAGGAAUGCCACUCUGCCAACAUGUUCAAAAUUCCAAUCUCCACAAUUCAAAGGAAAUACACAUGUGUUGUUUUGAGCCAUCAACUUUGUGAUAUUCCAUUCAGCAACAACAGAAAACUAAUACUCUGCCUUUCUUUAAAUAUGGUCUGAAAUUUUAUGUGAGCCCUGAACAAGGCAGCCAAGGCCAAAAGUGUGCACAUGAAUGAAGGAAGUUUCUGAAUUUCACUUCCCUUUCCCAAUAUCAGUUGUCGAUUCUUGAACUGAGCAUAUGUCACUCUUUUCUUAUGAAGUUACUUCUUAUUUAUUCACAUACAUGGGCUAUGACUUUAAUGCAUUUAUAUUUUAAACGCAGUUUUCUUCACAUGCACAAGCCCUGUCAUGAUCAAACUUGUAUUUCCCCAUCUGCUUCUCCCUUUAACCCCUGUCAUGCUGUUUCCUGAAAGCACCAUGCUAUAUUGUCUCUGUUGUUUUGUAUGUAUUGUUUCCUCUGUAGUUAGGGAUUUUUAUUUUAUGUUUUGACCAGAUAACUUCAACUUAGCUGCAUCAGGAUUAUGUUUAGCUAUAAUAGAGACUCCUAAAUAAUACAUUAUUAAAUAGAAAGAAGAUAAUCCUCUUUCCCAGUACAAUCUGGAGAACCCCAUUUCCUGAGGACCCUAGCACUGGUAUGGCAUUUCCGCUUUGGGGUGUCCUUGGAAAAUCAGAUUCCUUCUAGUUGAUUGCUCUGCUGGAGAUGGUUCUUGUCUUAAUAGUACUAGAUGACACUUAGAUUUAUGGCCAUCAUAUCUAUCUUCCAGGCCUAGGGUUAGAGGAAAAUGCAAAGAGGAAAAGAAAGAUCACACCCUAGUUAUCUUUUGAGGACAGUCCCUGGAAGCUGACAAGUUCUACUCACAUAUAUUAACAAGCACUUAGUCAUUAGGAAAGAGGCUGACAAGAGUCUUUUUUAAAAUUUUGGGGAUGGUAGUGGCAUUUGCUUUACUGAAAAGCAGAUGCUCUAUAGCUGUGGAAGAAGAGAAACCAUAUUAAUGGACAACAUACUGCAUCUCUCACAACAUCAUGUAAGACUCAGCUAGUAUGUUUCUUACUCUGAGAAGACUUUUCUAAUCCCCAAGUGCAUUGGUUCUUUCUUCUCUUUGUUUCCCAAAUGACCUGUGAAUACUAACCUUACUUUGAGAACAAAUUGCUGACUGGACUGUGAGCUAUUUGAGGCAGGAGCUCUAUUGUUAUCACUGUAUUGCCUAACACAGUAGCUACUACAUGAAUGAAUAUUUCUAUUAAAUGAAUGAAUAAAUUAACUCUGAAAAGAUUUCAGAUACCAGUGCCUAGAAAAUUUUGAAAUUUAAGCAGAUAUUUUAACUUAAAAUGUAGUAUAUUUUCUGUUCUUAAAAUAAUUUUGUAGCAAUUCCUAGGAAACUAUGAGUGUGUGCAAAUAUACAGAAAAAAGUAACUGUGUUGUAUUUUAUGUUUCAAAAAGUUGAUAUUUUACUCAUAGAAAGACAUAUUUCCACCUCCACUUUCUCUGUGAAAAAAAAUUUAGAAAGGUGUAAUGAAAGGAAAUUUGUGUUAAUUUAACCUAUUACAAUGCAACAAUCUAUAUCAAUUCAACCAAAUUAGGUAAAUAACUGUAAUACUAUAAAAUAGACUAAUAGUCAUAAUAAAUCAUAAAAAUCUAUUGUGUAGCAAAAGACUCCAUUUCUUUUCUGGCAUUUCCCCCAACAUCCCCUCUGUAAUGUAUUUUAACAGUGCCCUAAGUUUAUCAAUGUGGUUUAGAAAAAUCCUUAAUCUUAUAGCACUUUCAGUUCAAGCAACUAAUUUUGCCUUAGCAAAAAAAAAAUAUGAUUAGAUAGAGGCCUAUAAGUGUAAUUGUUAUUCAUAUUAUUUUAUGUAUAUAGGUCUUCCAUGUUUCUUAAAUAUACUCUUUUGAAAUUUAAUAUAUUUGUUAUCUAAUGAAUAAAUAAAAUGGAAUUGAAAGGAAAUACAAGACAUGAUACUUGUUCUUAACUUGGAAUUCAACAGGGAAGAGAUUAUAUUAAAACUAGUGGUGUUAGGGCAACUUUUAAUUGAGGUUAACUAAGCAGAUGAGUGAAUGAGCAUGUGAAUUAGGGAGACUACUUCUUCAGGGUAUUGUAUGGAUAUUUUCAUGGAUCAACUUUAGUAUUUUUCCAGAUCCUCUACUUCUAUAAAUUAACAGUAUUUUCAUCUUGCUCCUUAAACUAGGGUGGCCACAUGUUCAGUUUGCCUGGGACUCAUUUAGUCCAUGCCUGUGGUUCAAGCAAAAUUAUUGCCAGUUCUCCCUUUUACUCCCCAAAGGAAGCAGUCAUCUGAUAGCCUGCUCCUCUCUCCAUAACCAAAUUUACUUUCCCUCACUUCUCCCUUCUUUCUCCCUUUUCACACCAAAAGCACAUGGGAGGAGGAAAAAUAGUAGCAUUCUGGAAAGCUCUGUUUCUGGCUUUGGUUCCUAUAUUCCUGUUACCACCUGUUGAAAAUCAGCCCAUGCUCAAGUGUUGUAGAUUGCUUCAAGUUCCUGUGGUUUGCAGAUAAAAGCUUCUAUUUUUUGGAGGACAACAUGUUUUUGGUUUAAAAAAAUAAUAUAUUUCCAUGUUUGAGCUCAUGAGCAUUUCUUUAAAUUACUAGGGGAUCAUCCUGUAUCCAUCAUAAUAGAUGAUAGAUCAACAGAGCUUAUCCUUCUAAGUGCUAAUCCUUUUGAAAUAUUUUCCUUUUUCAGUGGAACUCUUUAUAAAAUGACUUUAUAAAAUACCUUCCUUAUUCUCUUAAUUAAUGUAGAUUCAAGAAAGUGAAAACUUUUCUGCUUGUAUAAUUAGGAAUGUUACUUAUUUUAUUUUCAUAAUAAAUGAUGUCCUUAUGAACUAGAGAGGCACAUGAGGUUUUGUUCUUUUUCUAUAAUUUUUUGAAUUACUGUCUUUUUAAAUAUCACAUUGCCUUGCGUAUUAACUCUUUUAGUCCCUUUUUCUCCAUAGAUUCAUUUCUUCUAAUCCACUGUUGGCUCAAAAACAAUUACCAGUAUAGUGAUUAGAAUUGUUAAUAAAAAUCAAGGUACAAUUGCUCUAAAUGACUAGCUGCUCUCUGAUGGGGGAAAAUCCAUGGGAUUUUAUGACAUCACUCUGCCUGUAGAGAUUUUUUUCUUUUCUGUCUGCUUUUUGUCUGUGUUCCAAGUAGUUGAGUUUAUAGAAUAGUUGACCUCUAGAUAAGUGAAAUGUUUUUGUAAUUCCAUUUGAAAAUUAGUGUGGAAAAUUAAGGUUUGCACCCCCGUGGAGAAAGUUGAGGUCAAGUAAUUCAUUCCCUAAGCUGUGCAGUCAUAAAGAUUCCCAUACCGGCCUCAGAACUAGUAUGAACCAAUCAAAUUGCUCCCAGGGGGGUGCUCACUUCCUAGGUCAAGUCUUAGCACUCCACAUAGCCAUUUUAGCCUUCCAAAUAUUUGCUUGGUGAAUUGACAGAGAAACAGGAAAUCAGAGUGAAAAUCGAUGUUAUAAAUCUGUUUUGUACAGAAAUGCAUUGAACAACUUUUAGUGAGGGCAAAUAUACUACACUGGGUUUUAGAAUACUGCAAUAUUCCCUAAUUUAUCUGGGAACAUAAAUCUUUCUUUUGUUACACUUCUUUCUUUCCCUAAUUUAAGAUUCACCCAAGAUUGUGUAAGGCUUGUGAUUAUUUCAGAGUUUUAGAAGAAAAUCUUCCUUCCUUUUUACAAAGAGUAAUCACAAUUCCUUUAAGAAUCACAAGGAAGAUAAGCAAUUUUAUAAAGCAGUUCAAUUCAUCUGGUGAAAGCCCCAAGGUUAUUAUUGCCAAAAGAAUGCCUUCCUAAGUAGCAGGUAAAACUCAAACUCAAAUAUUUGCUCUAAUUGUUCAAUAAAUAUAGUAAAAUAUACAUAGCUUUUGUUUUACUUUUAGGAAUAGAUGUUAUUAUUUAGCCCUGAAAAGUUCCCAGAUGCCUGGGUCCCAGUACAUUGUCAUUUGCUUAUUAUUCAUUGUGAAGAUGGGAGAUGGCUAAGUGUGUGGACUUUUGCUAUGCUUAAGUAAAACCUAUAGACUAAGGACAUUGUGUUUUAUUGGAAUGUAAUUACAUUUCCAAACAGAAUUAUUUCUGUGUUGAUGACACUUGUACACAGAUUAGAAAGUCUUGAAAAGACUUUUUGGAUUUGAUUAUAUGUUGACUUUUCCCUCAAAUUUCAUAUUUUCAAUCUACCCUAAACACUGCAACUAUAAAAUAUAAUGACUGAGGCAGUUGGACAAAAAACAAACAAACGAACAACAAAAAUCCCCACAAAUGUAUCCUGAACAUUAAGAAAUAAUGGGUCUUGAGUUUUUAUGGCCAUUAGUGAAGUCCCAUUAGUGAUGAUUUUGUUGGCCAAGAAAAGGAAAAAACUUAAAUAAUUCACAUCUUUGUAAUUAUGAAACACUAAUGGUAGAAAAUACUACAUGAGACAAAAUGCUUGUUACUGGGAAAGGUAUAUUCAAAGCAGCUUUAAAUAUUUGUUUUUGGAGACUGCUUACUAGACUGUGGAAUUUCCACUGUGGUAUUAUUGUUUUAUUUUGUUCUGCACAGAAGGUAAACAAAAACAAAAGGAAAAGAAUUCAUACCAGAGCCCCAAGAGUUGUCUGAACAUCUCUGAAGGUUUUGAAAAAAUCAUCUGUUUUACCAUGUUUUACCAUGUUUUACUAUACUAGAAUAAGGUGGUCUUACAGGCCAACACAGGCUGAUGAACUCUGCUCUAAAUGGGUGGGGUGUCCUCCAUCCAUUUACAUGCCAUGUCUUACAAAUAAGUGCAUUUUAUUUCUGGUCUCAGCCACUGACUUGUACAUGUGGUCUCAGGCACGAUGUGGAGUCUCUUAUUGGAAAAGCACUUUUCCAUAAGCACUCUCAGUUAACACUAUUAAGAGGUAGAUCUGUAACUUAAAGUUAAUAUGCACGAGUGCUCUCUCUCAUAUGCUGUAUCAAUUGCCUAACAUGUGCUUUUAAAAAUAAUCUUCUAUCUUGCCAGGUGUGUACUUUUUUCUCUGUUCUACAGAUCAGAAAAUCAAAGUUUAGAAUGAUUAAGGACAUAGUUGAGGUCACACAACUGUCAGAAGGCAGGGAUAGUGUUCCAACUGAUGGGAGUCUGAUUUUAAAGUAAUUGCAACGAGUGACUCUUCAGCUUUGCUUCUCCAUGGGAGAGAAUCUUGCCUGGUUUUAAGUGGCCAUACUUUAUGCCUUUUAGAGGGCAAGCCCAAGAUAUUAAACUGUCUCUGGCUUAAGUGUAAAGUGAGUGGAUUAAUUCUGCACUUUAUCUCCUUCCAUGAAAGCAUAAAUAAAUCAGUACAGGUGCAAUCUUCCAAAUUCACUUAAAGAAGCAGCAACAUAAAAUCAGGUCAGCAUACUAUGUAAGAGGGAGGAGCUCCAUGCAUCUUUUGAUAAUAUAUAAGUCUUUCAGAAUGGUUCAGCUGCUGGAAUUGUUACUUUCUUUCUUUUCCUGUUUCCAAAGUUUCUGUUCUAAAGAAUGUAUUCUGUUAUGUUUUCCUUCAAUGUCUAUAUCUCCUGACCUCUCACCUGACCUUUCACUUUAUACACCUUUGCCAAACUCCAGCAGAGCCAUAUUGCAGUUUGCAGUGAGUUUGCUGUGAGGUGGCCAGUGCUGCCCCUUCCUUCCACUGUGAAAGUCCCCCAGGGGAUCUACCAGGAAUAAAACAAAUCAACUCUUUUAUGCUUAUUUAAAAAUAUAUUUUAAUUGACAAAUAAUAACUGUACAAAUAAUUGAUGGGGUACAAUGUGAUAUUUGAAUACAUGCUACCAUGUGAUAUUUGAAUACAUGCAUUUGAUCAAAUUAGGAUAAUUAGUAUAUCCAUCAACUCUUUUAUUUGGCAAGCCCAGAAUCGUCUGUUGAUUCAUGUUGGGGUCUUUGAAUCAGUGUUUCCUUGCUACCCUAUCUCAGUUUCCCAAAAUAAGGAAAAACAAAAGUAUAUAAGUCCUGCAGUGAGAUUCCAGCCUUAUUUAGGUUGAAACAACUUUUGAGGUGUUUCUUUAGAAUUCAAGCCCAGUUUGGUUAUAUCAUCACUUUCAUUCACUUUAAUGGUUAUCUGUCUUUGAUGGACAUACGGUCCUUUCACCUCAUUGUAGAAAACCCUGUUUCCUGGUUUUGAGUUUUCAUAUUCUUUUAAAGUUUUUGGGUUUUUUUUUUGUUUAUAGAUAUUCAUUACUUGAUCUUACUGUUUUGGAACCUAGAGAUUAUAAGUUUAAUAUUGGUUUUAUUUUUUCUAUGUUAAUUCAGUUUAAAUGUCAGUGUUCUAUCUAAAAGGGAUACUUGAAGCUGAAUCACUUUGUGCUCGGCUGAAACAUAUAGUUUCUAAAUUAAACACUUUCUUACAAGUUAAAGGCAAAUUACAGCUGGUUAGUGCCUAGCAUUCUGUCUCUUUUUUUUCCUGCUCUGCCAGCAACAGACAUUGCUAAUCAAUUGGAGGCUCUUUCCCACCAAUCAUAGACACCACUUAACCAUACAGAAUGCUUCUUGGUACAAAAUUCUAACUAUUAAUGGAAUUAGGGUACAUGAUGAAAUCCAUUUGCCACCCAAGGAACAAAUGCCUCAUAUAAUCAGCACCAAGAAAAAAAUAUUGAUGUUUUUCUCCUCAGGGAGCACUUUGAAAACUUAAUGAAAAGAUACUUUGCAAUAAAAUGGAGAAUGGAGAAGGCUCUAACAUUCUUAGAAAGCUCUAUAAUGGUGUAAUGGGAUCUUAUCCAUGAAAAGCAUUUUAUUUAUUAAAUAAAGUUUUGAAUUAAAAAAAUCCCAUUAGCAGGACCAAGGAUGGCAGAUAAUUUUCUUUUAUAUAGAUAGCUUCUUACCAUACUUUAUAUGAGGAGGUUGUUCAGAUUCAAGUUUACUAAACAUUGACAGAAUAUAACUCAUAUUUUUCUGCAUGGACCCCAAUAUUAAUUUCCAGGGCUGAUUCCUACUUCCUUUUUUUGUCCUUAGAUUGAACUAAAAGCCACAUUAUGAAAAUACACAUCAGAUAGGACACUCAUCUUCUCCAGGAGCAUCAGGAUAAAUUAAAUCAUAAACACAUUCGUAUUGUGUUAGUAAAAGAUACUAGAUCCUAAUUUAUGUUUCCAUGGUAGAAUUUUUUUAACCAGUUCAACCUUUUUUCUCUUUCUUUCUUUCUUUCUUUCUUUCUUUCUUUCUUUCUUUCUUUCUUUCUUUCUUUCUUUCUUUUUCUUUUUUUUUCCAGUGCUUAGGAUUGAACCCAGGGCUUUGAGUGACUCAGGCAAGCUCUCCUUAGCACUGGGCUAUACUCCCAGCCCUUUGUUUUAAUUCAAAUGUGAAGGGUAUUAAAUUUAGGUGAUACUUCAUAUUAAUUGGGAGGAAGAUGACCAAAUUGCUUGAAAUACUGCAGUGUAUCAGGAGCUACACUAGGGGACACCCUCUUCUAUGAGGCCUGACAUUGCUGUGGGUUUGGGGAAAGCUGGAUCUGCCUGGGUCUGGACAACGCAAUGAUUGGACUACUCUAGUGGGUCUUUAAUCAUUUCCUCAGGGGCCUUUGUUCUUCUCAAAGCUUUCUUGGUUACAAGAAACAGACAUGCACUCAAGUUGCCUCACGUGAAGGAGGAUUUAUUGAAAGUUUGUGCAUGGGAGAAGCUGAAUGACCAGCCUUAGCAAGAGCAGGGCCCGAGCUACACUGCCUUUUCACCUCUGUCUCUGAAUCCUGUGUUCCUGUCUCACUCUUCUCUUUCUUUCCCAGCUGGCUUCCUCUGCAUUUCAUAGUCACUCUCCUCUCAUAAAUCCAGCAUGUGCAUUGCCCAUAAUGGCCACUCAGCUCCACCUACCACCACCUUUGUGCCACAGUGGCCACAGUUAAUAGCUCAGGGGCUUGGCUUCCCAGUUCUCUAUUCCACAGAAAGGUGUUGGGCACAAUUUAUCAUUCCAAGAGAACACAUUGAUCCUAAAAUCACAUAGACAGAAGUGCAAGGAAUAGCAGCAUAGUCAAAACCCUAUUGGUUAAUCAGCUGUGGCCAGAGGUCAUAGAAUCAGAUUAUCCUAACUUCCUUCUACAGCACUCUUGGAGAUGUGAGAAUAUGAUCACCAGGUAUGAGAUUAGAAUCAUAAGACAAUUGUUGACUUACCUGGAGAGUAUAACAGCAUGGUAGCCAUUCCCAAAGCUGGCUCCAGAAAUCUGACACCUGUGAUCCCAAUGACUUGGGAGAUUCAGGCAGGAGAAUUGCUCAUUUUCCUCCAGUCUCAGCAACUUAGCUAGGCCCUUGCUUCAAAAUGAAUAUGGCUGGCCAAGUAUCUAGUUCAGUGGUAGAGCACCCCUGGGUUCAAUCCCCAGUAUUACCCCCUUACAAAAUAAUGUUAAUUUGAAAAGAACAUUUAGCUAUGACAUUUAGCCCAUUUAAAAUUUACAUCUAUCUUUUUAUUUUUUUUCCUGCAAGUGAUAGAAUUAUUUCAGAGGCACCCAUUUCUUUCCUGUAGUUAUUUCCAUUGGCUUAUUUCAUAAUUCAAUGAUCUGGGAAUGCUGUCUGACACCUAAAGGUAACUCUACAAAAAAGGGCGCAUUACAUUCUGCUCUUCACUAUGGAAAUGAUCAGAUAAUAAAAUGGAUCAUAGGCUUGGAGGCUGAGGAAGUUGGGCUUAUAUUCUGUAACUGCUUGAUAUAAAACUUAUACCAUUCUUCCCCUGACAUUUCUAAUUAAUGGAAUGUGGCGUUAAUUAGUAACUUGGGAUCAGACCUGAGAGCCUUGAAGUUGAAUUUUGUGUAGAAACAUAUUUCUGUGGUAGGUAAGACAAACCCAGAGUUUUUUGGAUGAGAAGGAGAUUUUCCACUCCAUUGUUAUUUUCUGUAUGGCUUUUACUGAGUACAAAUCAAGCCAAUAUUACAGUUCAUUUAUCCAGCCCUUUCAGCUCUCUUCCAGGCAUCUCAGGAAUGUUAGAAUGGACAUUGACUAAAAUACCCAGCCUUGAGUGGAGGAGGUAGGUACCACUGUAAGCAGAGAAGUUGGGGAAACAGAUCAGGCAGGAAAGCUCAGAGGUGUGAGAUCCUGCGCUGGGUAGAGCUUGUUCUGGCUCUAUGGAUAUCAUUGCCCUUGAAAAAUUCUCCCAGUUUCUUUCCAGGCCUCAGUUUCCUCACCUGCAAAAUAGGAAUCAAUGCCCCUGUCUCUAAGGAGCGUUGGGAAGUUUGCUUAUUAAUGAUGCUAAGAAUGCUUGGAACGCAUAAAUAUUUCUUAAGAAGAGCUGGUAUCUUUCCUCUCCCUAUAAGAUUGGAGGAAAUAUGCAACAUCUCUUCUGUUCAUCUGUAAUUUAGUCAGCUUGUGUACAUACUGCAUUGCAUUAAACGCUGAACUCUGAUCCUAGUGUUUAAACAUAUUAAAUACAAAAUAUGAGUAGUAUAAAUUGUAUGAAACACUUUUGUCUCCUACUUGGAGGCCUAACAAUGCAGGGUCACCACAAACAUUAUACAGACACUGCAAAGAGUAAGUGGAAGUCUUUCAGACAGUGACUGGAAAAUAGUCUUACAGCAAAAGUAGUAGAAGUCCAGCACUGGGGAAUUUAUAAGUAAUCCAAAGAAAACUGAGGGUGGGCAAGGGCUAGUGAAAUUUGUUUAUUUUAUUUGCACAUUAACUUUUAUAAUACUCUUCCUCUAAAGAACACAAAAAAGGCUUCACAGAUAACAAACUCUAUCUUUUAAACUUCUCAUUCCCACAACAGCCUUGCUGGGGUUCGCUGCCAUAAGAAAACAUCACCUAUUUCCUCUUUAGAAAAAUAAGGUUUCAGGAUAAAAGCGUUUUCCAUUAUGGUUUGGGGAGAAAGGACAUCACCAUAGGUCUUUUAUCAGAGAUCAUGGUUCAAGCCUUCCAGUAAUAAAAACAGAACAAAUUUCACUUGGAAGGUGUGCAGAGAAGCACAGUGCCUUAGGAGGACUGUGUGAAGAUAACUUGGGUGCCUGUCCGUCACCCAACUCUAAUGGUUUUCUUUAUUUCAGGAUCUUCAAAUUAUGGAUUUUUUUUCCUUUUUUCAUAUUGUUGGGUUUUUUUUUUUUUUAUUUGACCACUAACUUGUAGCCUUGGCAUCUCUGCAAUUGUAUUUCUCCAAAUGCACAGUGGAUAUGAAUCAAGCCAUAGGUGAAUGUCUGUGUCCUAAGAGACAUUCAGCGCUUUGUAAACUUUUCCUUGGUAUAUCACACCAUUAUUUUCUGUUUUGUCUUGGACUGUAUUUUUUUUUCUUUUAUUUUACUAUAAUACUCUGAGCUCUUUAAUAUUUUCCCUUGGGGCAAAUUUCAAGAAGAAAAGAAACUCUCUGUGAAUAGUGGUUAAAAAUUGUUGACAAGGAAAGUUGAAGAUAACCAUGUUUUGUUUCACUUUUCAAAAACUGUAUGUGGACAUAGAAGAACCUCAGCAGUUACACAUAUCGGUAGAUCCCUCUGUCCUCUGAAAAGAAGGGAGAGAUUUAUGGAAUCCACAGGGGCGAGGGCCACAUAACCCAGUUUGAGCUUACAAGGCACUAGCUCCUUAAUGCCAAGUAAAUUUUGGAAAUGAUUCUCCUUUGCUGACAGUACCCUCAUUACUGAUUGUGUAGAGUAAUUUAUCAGGCAUUUCUUAAAAUAAACCGUUCAUUUAUACUAAUAGGACUUGGCAGGAAGAAAAAAUUGGCAGGACUUGGAGUUCCUAGUGUGGGUUUUUUUUCUUUUCUUUUCUUUUUUUUUUUUUUCAAUUUUGUUGCCUUUAAAAAAUCUAAAACACUGACUUUUCAAAGUUUCAAACACUUUGAGGAAAUAGGUUUUAGGGGCCAGCUUGAAGUUCAUGAAAUUGUAAAGAAUGGCAUUAAAAGUUUUCAAACUGGAAGAAAGGAAAUAAUUCUAAAAAUGAAGUUCACCAGACAGAAAAUAAGUACAAUGUUACCAAUUUUAUCUUUUCACAUUCUUUAGGCAUUGGGCUCCUUGAUAAUUUUGUUACCUACUUUUGGCAUUGCAUGGGUUGGGCUCACUUCACUUCUCUUCCAUGUUUGAUUCUAUGCUCCUUCUCCUUGAAGUUUGUAUCAGCUAGCUGUUUCUCUUUAGUUAUGCACAUAAUGUAUCACAGUUGUUUAUAUAGACCCAAGAGAGUUAUUCUCAAGGCUUUCUUAUUAUCUUUGUAUUCUUAGCCUUGGGCUCUGACAAUUAAUUUCCAUCUUACGUUUCCUUGGAAUUAAAAGGAUCUUACUAAAAUUGAUAACACUUUCUCCCAUAUAAAAUAAUAGUUAUGGAAAUCAUAAUAAAACAUAAGCUAAAAUUGAAUCUUUAGGCUCUGGAAAAAUACAUCAGUUCUCCACCAGCACUGGGGAUAUGGAAGGCCAGGGAGCUAAAUUCUGACACAAUGAUCAAGUGUACAACUGUACAUAGGUAUGUUUAUGUGCAUAUGUAUAUGUAUAUAAUAUGUAUACAUACAUACACAUUUGUUAUGUGUCUAUUUUUAAUAAUAAUGAAGUUGUAUGAGUUAUAGCAUCUGUUGAGACUCAGACAUAAGAAUAGGUUAUGUGAGGGGCUGGGGUUGUGGCUCAGUGGUAGAGCACUUGCCUAGCAUCUGUGAGGUGCUGGGUUCAAUUCUUCAAUUCUCAGCACCACAUAUAAACAAACAAACAAAUAAAGAUCCAUCAAUAACUAAUAAAAAUAUUUUUAAAAAAUAGGUUGUGAUACUGCAGACCAAAGCAGAAAUAAUGUUCUCUGGGAAUAAAUGAAACUCUUCAAAAGUUCAGGGCUCUACUGGUGGUUAAAUCCUACUAAAAAGGGUAACAUGCACUACAUCAAACUGAUAGUUCUGGGCUGGAAAGUGGUUUUACACUAUUGAAUUGCUGAUUCCGCUUGCUUCUUAGGAGCUUCCAUAGCUGACAUUUUAACAUCAAAUGAUAGUUAUCUCUUUUGUUUCAAUCCUCUUUUUGAUCAGGAUCUUAGAGCUUGUUAUUUUGAUAAAAUUAAGUUUAGAUUGCUUUAUAAUUUUCAAGCUUUUUCAUACCUGAUAUUAUAAAGUUUACGAUUACCAAAAAUGCCAAGCUGUUGAAUAUAUCUACAUAUUAAUAAUUAUUAUGAUGUUAAAUAAUAAUUCUGGGUAGUAAGACUGGGUAAUUUUUCCUUUUUUGUUUUUCUUUAUUUUUUUCUGACAAUUUACAAUAUUAUCUUAAUAUUUUAAAGUGUUCAGUCCCCAGCAUUGCCAAACAAAUAAAACAAGUUUUAAAAUGUUUUCAGAAAAAAAGGAAAAAGAAGAAUACCUUAUUUAUUUAUUUAUUUAUUUAUUUUUGGUCCUGGGAAUUGAACUCUGGAGCAUUCAACCACUGAACCACAUUCCCAGCCUUAUUUUGUAUUUUAUUUAGAGACAGGGUCUCACUUCCUUAGUGCCUUGCUUUUGCUGAGGCUGAACUCUUGAUCCUCCUGCUCAGCCUCUGGAGCCACUGGGAUUAAAGGCAUGUGCCACUGCACCCAGCAGAAUAUUUUUAAAGAUACAGUUAUAAAGAGAUACAGUUAUAGAGAAUUAUAAAGGUUUUUCUUAGAAAGUUUAAGGUAUACAUUUAUGUCUUACUUCUUAUGUAUUGAGAAUUAGGGUUGUACACAGUCAUAUUAUUUCUUUAUAUCCUUGGUUUUAUUCUAUAUUCAAUUUUAAAUGUUCUUGACCAUUCACAAAUAAUUUCUAAAUCUCUAGCUUACUCAUUUUUUUUCAUUGCUGAUAUAAGAGUAUUUGAUUUGUUUCUUUUCUUUUUACCUAUCUAUUAAAAGAAACAUAUGCCAAUUUUUUGAGAUCCCAUCAUCAUUGUAUUUCAGUUGUUACCUGUGGCCUAUGAUAAGGAGGUCCUUGUGCUUUGGAAGUUUCUUUAUCUUCUUAACCAAGGGUUUCUCACAUCUUAAGCAGAAGUUUUCCUGCAGGACCAAAUUUAGACCAUUGCUUUUAAUCCCAAGCCAAAUGAUUGUCUAAAAAAAUUCGAGGGCAGUGUAUAUUUGGAACAGCAGACAGAUUCAUUGAGCCUAAGAACAAUAAAGGAAUCCAGAAAAAAAUUAAAUGGUUUUUGUCAAGGAAAACAGUAAUACCAUGAGCCUCGUUUCUCACCCCUUUGCAAACUGAAUCCAUCUUGUGAAAUUCUAUGUUCUUAUUUAGCAAAGCAACAGGAGAAGGGGGGAACGGAGUUAUUUGAUGAUGAUUCUUUUUUAAUCACAGCAGCUUGGGAUAGCUAACAAGUUCAGGACUUUCCACUACAGGUCUUUAACUUUUCUAUUACAUUCUCUUUCCUUUCUACACCUUUCUGGAAAGAGAACUCGGAUUUAAUAAGUUCAAGUAAGAGGAUAACUUCUGUGUAAAAUCACCUAUGUGAGUCCUGUGGCUGUCAGGAGAUAUUGGAAUUUAUUUGAUUCUGUACUGAGAAAAACUCAUCUUCAGUGUGUGCUUCUUCUUGGCAUCAAAAAUUAGCGAGACCCCACAAGCACCAGCCAGAAAUUGGAAUGGACUCUGUGUCUUUUAUUAAAAUUUCUGUGUGGGCACAGCUCUCUGAAGCUUGCCACAAGGAGGCCAGCUGGUGCUAGCAGGAGGACAUGGGGCUACCUUGCUCCUGGAGUUGUUUAGUCCUGGGGUUGAGAAAGUAGAGUGAAUCUCAAGUAGAAUGAGACAGAAUUUUCAAGCCCCACAGGCCAACUAGAUUUGACAGAUUCAGAAAACUUUUCUCAGUCAGCUUGCCUACUUGUGUAACAUUCUCCUUAUUUCUUUUAUGUUCUUUAAUAUUUAGUACAGAAACUUUUGAACAUUUCAGCCAAUUUCUGCUAAAAUAAAUAAAGAAGACACAUUUUGGUCAAGUUUAUUUUGGGCAUUAAAGUGAGGGAGCAGGAAGGGGCUCCUGAUAGAGUGAAUCAGAGCAGAAAAACUGAUAAGGAAAGCAAAGUUCAGAAGGAUUGAGCUGGUGUUAUGGUUUGGAUAUGAGGUGUCCCCCAAAACUCACACAUGAGGAAAUGUAAGAAGGUUCAGAGGAGAAAUGUUUGGGUUGUGAGAGUCUUAACCCAAUCAGAUGCGGAUUUAACUGAGUGGUAAUUGGAGUGGUAGGUUGUGGCUGGUUGGGAAUUGGGGCGUGGCUUUGGGGCAUAUAUUUGUAUCUAAUAAGCAAAGUUGUCUGUUUCCUGAUGAUGUGAGCUGCUUCACUCUGCCACACUCUCUCACCAUGAUGUUCAGCUUCACUGCAACUCCCAAGGAAUGGAGCCGGCCUUCUGUGGACUAAGACCUCUGAAACUAUGAGCCCUCAAAUAAACUUUUCCUCCUUUAAAAUUGUUCUGAUCAGAUCUUUUAGUCACAGCAGCAAAGAAGCUGACUAAAACAGUCAGGGUUCAUUCAGAUAUCCAUCUCUGGCCAUAGAUUCUCUAGUCAAUGCUAAACUCUGAAGAUUCCUGAGUGUGCCUUAUUAAAGCAAAUAGCCCUGUUGGUUAAUUACUAAGAAAAUGGACAAAUUCUCAUGUGUACACAGUCAAAUGUAGGUACAUUUAGGCUAAGAUCAUAGAUUUGCUCUUACCUCUAAACUUAAGAGAUUUCCUAGUUAUUAUACCUGGAUUGCUAUGAUUUACUCACUUAAGAAGUAGUAUGCCAUAGCAAAAUUGAUUUGUACUCUCAGUAAACUAACAUAAAACUAAUUUGCACUAAAAAUCCAACUGGAGAGGAAAUAUGGUGAACGAUAUUGGCCAAAUGAGAUUGUUAUAUGAUGUGCAUGUAUGAGUAUGUAACAAUUCCCACCAUUAUGGAUAACUAUUAUUCACCAAUAAAAAUAUGGAGAAAUAAAGAAAAGAAGAAUAUAGGAGAAAAAAAAAGCCAAUUGGAUUCUGAGCUCCAAAAGGGCAAUAAUAUCUCUAUUGCUUUUGUUACCUCAGUGCAGAACAUGGAUGUAUAACUCAGGAAAUGUUUGUUGAAUGAAUAUGCAUUAUGUUAGUGUGGAGCUUUUUAUAGUGUCUGAGUAUUUCUCUCCCUGCUCACUGUACUUUUUUCAAAAGCUUAGUGUGGCAAGUCAUUAUUCACAAGACGAUUAUUGGAACCUGGCUUCAGAGCAAAUAGAAGCUAGUCUUUGGAGCAGGUGUGGGGAAGGGCAGUUCUGCUCCCUUCAUCAGCAUGUCUUUGUAUAUCUGAGACUCAAGUUCCUGUGACAGUCUCCCUAGCACAGGGCUUGCAGCAUUCUUUCCUUCUCAUUUUCAGUUUUAAGUGGGCCAUUCAGAACUGCUCAAGUCACCCCUCUUCUCCUAGUUAUUUCAAACAUUUUCAUAUCAUUAAAAUCCUAUUUUUCUGGGUAUUACAUUCAGAGUACUAGAGUCACUUGCUUCUGGGAGGAACUCGUGUACUAAUCCCUUAUUAACAUACCAGAUUCUUCAUCUCUUAGGUGAGCAAGUGUUCAUUCACUGACCCCGUCUAGUUCAUUUUGAUGUUGAAGGGACUGGGGAAGAAAAUAAAUGUAAAACAAUUAUGACUUGAAAAUUCCUUGAGAAUAGAUCGAGCCACAUCAGUAGACAUGAUUGGAGCAUAUUUCAGUGCUACUCAGACUGUGGGGAAUGGCAAUUCAGCCUUUGUUCUUAUGUCUUUUAUUAUCUGAAACCAUUCACUUAAUAACACUGAGUGUUCAUUUCAUCACUUUAAAAUAAAUGACUUCAUAACUCAUGUCAGAAAUAAAUAAUAUUAACAUACAUGUCUGUAGGAGUCCAUAUAUGCAAGGUAAUAUUGUGUAUAAUAUCUUGAUAGAACAGUAUUCUUAUAGAAGUGAAUUAUAAGGGUGUAUUCACAUUCUGAGUAAACAGCUAGCCAGCUUUAGUCAAACCUAUGGCAUUGCUUGCUACCACCCUUCUCCUUAGGACAAUCCCUCCAACAUUUGUAAAUCUACAUUUUUAUCAAGUGAAAACUGUCUCCCAAAGUGAACUAGGAUGGAUACAAAAUUGGUGUCAUCCAUUUCUUCUGAUAAGAAGCAUAAACUACUAGAUUGGCUACUCCUUGAGAAGGUGGCUGUUUCCAGAUUGGCUUGAUUUAGCUACCUGUUUUUUUGUUUUUUUUUUUAACUAAUUCUUUAGGGAUAGGAACCAUGAUUAAAUUAGCUCAGAGAUGAAUUCUGAUAGUUGAGUGGGUGGUCUUCCUGUAUCCUAAAAUCCAAUCCUUACAGUAUCUUCAGAAAUAAGUAAAUCUCAUAAAUUCAACUAAAAGAACUUCAGUUCUAGUUACAGAAUAUAAAUUUGAUAUUGAGAUUUCUUUGGACCAAAUUAGUAGCCAGGAACUUCAAAUAAAUCCAAGAAAAGUCUCCUCCAAGACUUGAUCACAAUAAUAAGGAAAUAUUAAUACAUUGAUAAGCAGUUUUCCUUUUAUGUGUAGCAUACAGUACCAUUUCAAAAGUAGCAUAUAAAAAAAUUUAAGGCACUAAAGAAUACACACAAUAUUUUCUAAAUGAGUGGGUUUCAGAAUGAAAAAUUGUAACUUCAGAGUGAAAAAUUAUUAUUGCAUUACAAUUUAGCAAAACUGUUAAUUAGCCAUCUGCUUGUAAUUUAGUUCAAAGAAAAAUAAUAUUAGCUUACAUAAUGCCUUGAAUUUCCCUAUAGAAGGCCAGUAGGUGAAAUAUUGAUUAAGGCUUAUGAAAUUUGAACACAGUAUCUCAGACAACCAUAAUGACAAUAGUGUGCUGAGACCACAGUUCAAGAAGAAAAUAAUUUAAUGAAAGUAGAAUGAAGAUAGCCACUAUUAAUGAAUUUGCUAAUGAUUAUUUUCUGUAAGAUAUGUGUUAUAUAAUGUUCCCAGUUUCAUGUAUGCAAUGUACUAUUUUUGAUUAGCAAAGAGAAAAUUAUUAUCUCAGCUAUGAGAUUGGCCUUAUCAAAAGUUAUUUGGCUUAACCGGGCAGUCAUGUGUAAUUUUAAUUAUGAUAAUAAAUGGCAAAGAUAUUCAUAUGCUAGAAAUUAAAAUAAGGUACAUUAGAAGAAACAAUUUUGAAUAUAUUUUAAUUAUAUAGUUGCAUAAUAUACAAAUAAAUAUUAUACAAUUAUAUGUUACAAUUAUACCAAACAAUUCUCUGUGGAAACAACCAAGAGUAAAACAGAAUUAAUUCCAAUAGUAAAUGAAAAAUCAAGCUAGGAUAUGUAUGACCUGGAUGUACAAAGGAGUGGUAUUCAAAAUACUUAAAAACAGUCAGUCAUGGGCCCUCACCAAAAAGUACAAGAUGCUUGUCAUGGUAUUGAAGCAGUGUGUCCCUGAAGCUAUAUCCUGAACUAGGUGUUAAUCCUUUAGAUUUUGGACCACUGAGAAUUUCAUCAGGAUUCCAAAUAGGCCAAUGGGAAUGUAAGACAAGAAUCAUUUAGUAAUUAAUAUGAAAUAUAUCAAUAUUUUUAUAAGUGUGGGUGUACCUGUGCAUACAUGCUGAAUAUCAGCCCUGAUGAAUGUGAAAUUGUCCAUUUGUAAGCAUUUGAUUCAUUUUUCAUUAAACUUGAAAAGCAACCUGUCCUAACUCCAGAGCCUCCAAAUCAGAAUUAAUUUAUAAACCCAGGGAAGGUAAAAAACGAAGAGAAUACUAUAUACAACAUGAAAUCAAAAUGCUUAGAAGAUACUAGAGCUCCAUUUCUGGUUUAUAGCAUAUCAAAACACUCACCAGAAAAUAAGAAAAACUGAAUAUUUUAAUUUUUAAAUUUGUUUGAAAGCACUGAAGAAGUACCAAGAAAAUCAGGGCUUCAAUGGUAUUAUCCUAAUGAGAAAGGAAGCACAUUAAAUUAAGUCCUAUACAUCCUGCCCUUGGGCAUUGCCAUUCUUUGGUGCCUGACAUAGAGAUCUGCCAGUAAAU